Molecule: unclassified non-coding RNA, 75 nt
Filed under: Pseudovibrio sp. Tun.PSC04-5.I4
Lineage: Bacteria; Pseudomonadati; Pseudomonadota; Alphaproteobacteria; Hyphomicrobiales; Stappiaceae
Source: RNAcentral
AGGAGCCGGAUGCGGUAGUUCCGCUCGUCCGGAUCUGUGCGGGGGGCACUCAGUAAUGAGUGUCCCUACCGCGAG